Molecule: signal recognition particle RNA, 314 nt
Filed under: Candidatus Bathyarchaeota archaeon
Lineage: Archaea; Thermoproteati; Candidatus Bathyarchaeota
Description: signal recognition particle sRNA
Rfam family: Archaeal signal recognition particle RNA
Source: RNAcentral
GCGGCGGGUAGGACCGGGAGCUAGCCCUUCCCCUUGCCUUCAAACGGGCUAUAGGAGGGGUCAGUAACCUCGGUGUGAUGGGGUGAAGCCUGCGGGUAAGACGUGCGGCUCUCCGUCGAGGGCUUGUCCCGCGGGGUCGGCGGUUGUUCUCUGCGCCCUCGUAGGGGGGCGUGGGGGCUGUAGUCGGGUGAACCGGUGAGGCCCGGGAGGGAGCGGCCUAAGCCUGGACGUUUGGCGCUCGCGGGGUCCCGAGCCUGAGGGGGGUCGUGCGCCCCUGUCCGUGGGUGAGCCCUUGAGCCCUGGGGGGCCGUCGC